Molecule: ribosomal RNA, 465 nt
Filed under: Vreelandella stevensii
Lineage: Bacteria; Pseudomonadati; Pseudomonadota; Gammaproteobacteria; Oceanospirillales; Halomonadaceae
Description: partial 16S ribosomal RNA
Rfam family: Bacterial small subunit ribosomal RNA
Source: RNAcentral
CCUACGGGAGGCUGCAGUGGGGAAUAUUGGACAAUGGGGGCAACCCUGAUCCAGCCAUGCCGCGUGUGUGAAGAAGGCCCUCGGGUUGUAAAGCACUUUCAGUGAGGAAGAACGCCUGGUGGUUAAUACCCAUCAGGAAAGACAUCACUCACAGAAGAAGCACCGGCUAACUCCGUGCCAACAGCCGCGGUAAUACGGAGGGUGCGAGCGUUAAUCGGAAUUACUGGGCGUAAAGCGCGCGUAGGUGGCUUGAUAAGCCGGUUGUGAAAGCCCCGGGCUCAACCUGGGAACGGCAUCCGGAACUGUCAAGCUAGAGUGCAGGAGAGGAAGGUAGAAUUCCCGGUGUAGCGGUGAAAUGCGUAGAGAUCGGGAGGAAUACCAGUGGCGAAGGCGGCCUUCUGGACUGACACUGACACUGAGGUGCGAAAGCGUGGGUAGCAAACAGGAUUAGAUACCCGAGUAGUC